GCCAUACCAAUCGUCGACCUG
RNAcentral lists this ribosomal RNA (21 nucleotides) under Cyprinus carpio (common carp). The record is from RNAcentral. Lineage: Eukaryota; Metazoa; Chordata; Actinopteri; Cypriniformes; Cyprinidae.